GAUGAACGCUGGCGGCGUGCCUAACACAUGCAAGUCGAACGGACUUUUCAUGAAGCCUAGCGAUUGAAAAGUUAGUGGCGGACGGGUGAGUAACGCGUGGGUAACCUGCCUUGUACUGGGGGACAACAGUUGGAAACGACUGCUAAUACCGCAUAAGCGCACAGCUUCGCAUGAAGCAGUGUGAAAAACUCCGGUGGUACAAGAUGGACCCGCGUCCGAUUAGCUGGUUGGUGAGGUAACAGCCCACCAAGGCGACGAUCAGUAGCCGGCCUGGGACGGUGAACGGCCACAUUGGGACUGAGACACGGCCCAAACUCCUACGGGAGGCAGCAGUGGGGAAUAUUGCACAAUGGGGGAAACCCUGAUGCAGCAACGCCGCGUGAGUGAAGAAGUAUUUCGGUAUGUAAAGCUCUAUCAGCAGGAAAGAAAAUGACGGUACCUGACUAAGAAGCCCCGGCUAACUACGUGCCAGCCGCCGCCGUAA
RNAcentral lists this ribosomal RNA (484 nucleotides) under uncultured bacterium. Its description in RNAcentral is "partial 16S ribosomal RNA". It matches the Rfam family "Bacterial small subunit ribosomal RNA", at positions 28 to 523 of the family's 1533-position model. The record is from RNAcentral.